GGCUUCAUAGCUCAGUUGGUAGAUUAUCGCACCGGCAUUGCGGAGGUCAUGGGUUCGAUUCCCAUUGAAGCUU
RNAcentral lists this transfer RNA (73 nucleotides) under Actinia tenebrosa (Australian red waratah sea anemone). Its description in RNAcentral is "tRNA-Ala". It matches the Rfam family "tRNA". Rfam says of the family: Transfer RNA (tRNA) molecules are approximately 80 nucleotides in length. The record is from Rfam by way of RNAcentral. Lineage: Eukaryota; Metazoa; Cnidaria; Anthozoa; Actiniaria; Actiniidae.